CAAUGUUUGGUAGAGGUGUAUGGCUGGAAAAAAGAAAAGGCUUCUCUGGUCAUUUGGAGAUGCUUUUCUUUCUUCCAUCCAUACAUCAUCUAACAAACUGAGU
RNAcentral lists this microRNA precursor (103 nucleotides) under Lotus japonicus. RNAcentral describes it as "MIR1507 microRNA precursor family". It matches the Rfam family "MIR1507 microRNA precursor family". The record is from Rfam by way of RNAcentral. Lineage: Eukaryota; Viridiplantae; Streptophyta; Magnoliopsida; Fabales; Fabaceae.